CCAUGGGCGUAAGCUACCGUGCGCGUCGAGCGGAACGAGUUGUCUGAACCUUCGGGGAACGAUGACGGCGUCGAGCGGCGGACGGGUGAGUAAUGCCUGGGAAAUUGCCCUGAUGUGGGGGAUAACCAUUGGAAACGAUGGCUAAUACCGCAUAAUAGCUUCGGCUCAAAGAGGGGGACCUUCGGGCCUCUCGCGUCAGGAUAUGCCCAGGUGGGAUUAGCUAGUUGGUGAGGUAAUGGCUCACCAAGGCGACGAUCCCUAGCUGGUCUGAGAGGAUGAUCAGCCACACUGGAACUGAGACACGGUCCAGACUCCUACGGGAGGCAGCAGUGGGGAAUAUUGCACAAUGGGCGCAAGCCUGAUGCAGCCAUGCCGCGUGUAUGAAGAAGGCCUUCGGGUUGUAAAGUACUUUCAGCAGUGAGGAAGGUGGAUGUGUUAAUAGCACUUUCAUUUGACGUUAGCUGCAGAAGAAGCACCGGCUAACUCCGUGCCAGCAGCCGCGGUAAUACGGAGGGUGCGAGCGUUAAUCGGAAUUACUGGGCGUAAAGCGCAUGCAGGUGGUUUGUUAAGUCAGAUGUGAAAGCCCGGGGCUCAACCUCGGAAUUGCAUUUGAAACUGGCAGACUAGAGUACUGUAGAGGGGGGUAGAAUUUCAGGUGUAGCGGUGAAAUGCGUAGAGAUCUGAAGGAAUACCGGUGGCGAAGGCGGCCCCCUGGACAGAUACUGACACUCAGAUGCGAAAGCGUGGGGAGCAAACAGGAUUAGAUACCCUGGUAGUCCACGCCGUAAACGAUGUCUACUUGGAGGUUGUGGCCUUGAGCCGUGGCUUUCGGAGCUAACGCGUUAAGUAGACCGCCUGGGGAGUACGGUCGCAAGAUUAAAACUCAAAUGAAUUGACGGGGGCCCCGCACAAGCGGUGGAGCAUGUG
This 927-nucleotide ribosomal RNA is filed under the name Vibrio sp. j21433. RNAcentral describes it as "bacterial SSU rRNA". It matches the Rfam family "Bacterial small subunit ribosomal RNA", at positions 40 to 943 of the family's 1533-position model. Lineage: Bacteria; Pseudomonadati; Pseudomonadota; Gammaproteobacteria; Vibrionales; Vibrionaceae. The record is from RNAcentral.